Molecule: ribosomal RNA, 1522 nt
Filed under: metagenome
Description: bacterial SSU rRNA
Rfam family: Bacterial small subunit ribosomal RNA
Source: RNAcentral
AGAGUUUGAUUCUGGCUCAGAACGAACGCUGGCAGCGUGGAUUAGGCAUGCAAGUCGAACGUGAAGCCGUUGAACAAUCUUUCGGGAGAGUGAUUCGGUGGAAAGUGGCGGAAGGGUGAGUAACGCGUGGGUGAGCUGUCUCGAAGUUGGGGACAACCAGAUGAAAAUCUGGCUAAUACCGAAUGUGGUCUUCUGGCGCAUGUCAGGAUGACUAAAGGUGGGGAUUCUUCGGAACCUGCCGCUUUGAGAGGUGCCCGCGUGCCAUCAGCUUGUUGGUAGGGUAAUGGCCUACCAAGGCUUACGGCUAGCCGGCCUGAGAGGGUGAUCGGCCACACUGGGACUGAGACACUGCCCAGACUCCUACGGGAGGCUGCAGUCGAGGAUCAUUCGCAAUGCGCGAAAGCGUGACGAUGCGACGCUGCGUGGGGGAUGAAGGCCUUCGGGUCGUAAACUCCUGUCAUGAGGGAACAGUAUCCCUGUAAUUAAUAGUUGCGGGGCUCGAUGGUACCUCAAGAGGAAGCCACGGCUAACUCUGUGCCAGCAGCCGCGGUAAUACAGAGGUGGCGAGCGUUGUUCGGAUUUACUGGGCGUAAAGGGUGCGUAGGUGGUUUUGUGUGUCGGAUGUGAAAUCCCAUGGCUCAACUGUGGAAUUGCAUUCGAAACUGCGGAACUGGAGUGCAGGAUGGGAGAGCGGAAUUCUUGGUGUAGCGGUGAAAUGCGUUGAUAUCAAGAAGAACACCGGUGGCGAAGGCGGCUCUCUGGAAUGCUACUGACACUGAGGCACGAAAGCUGGGGGAGCGAACAGGAUUAGAUACCCUGGUAGUCCCAGCCGUAAACGGUGCACACUUGGUGUGGGGAGAUUUAACCCUCUCCGUGCCGGAGUUAACGCGUUAAGUGUGCCGCCUGGGGAGUACGGCCGCAAGGCUAAAACUCAAAGAAAUUGACGGGGGCCCGCACAAGCGGAGGAGCAUGUGGCUUAAUUCGAUGCAACGCGAAGAACCUUACCAGGGCUUGACAUGGGGACCCUUCGGGGGUGGUAGCGAAAGUUACCUUUACCAUCACAGGUGCUGCAUGGCUGUCGUCAGUUCGUGCCGUGAGGUGUUGGGUUAAGUCCCGUAACGAACGCAACCCUUGUGGCUAGUUGCCACCGGUGGUGAUGAGCCGCCGAGCACUCUAGCCAGACUGCCCGUACAAGCGGGAGGAAGGUGGGGAUGACGUCAAGUCAGUAUGGCCCUUACGUCCUGGGCUGCACACGUGCUACAAUGGUCGGUACAGUGGGAUGCAAUACCGCGAGGUGGAGCAAAUCCCCAAAGCCGCCCUCAGUUCGGAUUGAAGUCUGCAACUCGACUUCAUGAAGUUGGAUUCGCUAGUAACGGCGCAUCAGCUACGGCGCCGUGAAUACGUUCCCGGGCCUUGUACACACCGCCCGUCACAUCAUGAAAGCCGUCUGCACCCGAAGUCGCUGAGCCAACCAUUUAUGGAGGCAGGUGCCGAAGGUGUGGGUGGUGAUUGGGAUGAAGAC